This is a small nucleolar RNA of Hevea brasiliensis (rubber tree), 78 nucleotides long. RefSeq annotates it as small nucleolar RNA R24. Lineage: Eukaryota; Viridiplantae; Streptophyta; Magnoliopsida; Malpighiales; Euphorbiaceae. The record is from RefSeq and is a predicted model, not a curated record. The transcript has a single exon.
UUUGCUGUGAUGAGCUGUUAACAUGUGAGAAGAACUCUCUCAUGGUGUCUCUUCUGUGAAAUAUACCUGUUUUGCCAA